Molecule: transfer RNA, 88 nt
Filed under: Escherichia coli
Lineage: Bacteria; Pseudomonadati; Pseudomonadota; Gammaproteobacteria; Enterobacterales; Enterobacteriaceae
Description: tRNA-Ser
Rfam family: tRNA (bases 1-78)
About the family: Transfer RNA (tRNA) molecules are approximately 80 nucleotides in length.
Source: RNAcentral
UGUCCGAGUGGCUGAAGGAGCACGCCUGGAAAGUGUGUAUACGGCAACGUAUCGGGGGUUCGAAUCCCCCCCUCACCGCCAGAUUACA